GAGGGUAUAGUUCAGUGGUAGAGUGUGUGCUUGGCGUGCACGAGGUCCUGGGUUCAAUCCCCAGUACCUCCA
Molecule: transfer RNA, 72 nt
Filed under: Camelus bactrianus (Bactrian camel)
Lineage: Eukaryota; Metazoa; Chordata; Mammalia; Artiodactyla; Camelidae
Also listed under: 2 other names
Rfam family: tRNA
About the family: Transfer RNA (tRNA) molecules are approximately 80 nucleotides in length. Their secondary structure includes four short double-helical elements and three loops (D, anti-codon, and T loops). Further hydrogen bonds mediate the characteristic L-shaped molecular structure. tRNAs have two regions of fundamental functional importance: the anti-codon, which is responsible for specific mRNA codon recognition, and the 3' end, to which the tRNAs corresponding amino acid is attached (by aminoacyl-tRNA synthetases). tRNAs cope with the degeneracy of the genetic code in two manners: having more than one tRNA (with a specific anti-codon) for a particular amino acid; and 'wobble' base-pairing, i.e. permitting non-standard base-pairing at the 3rd anti-codon position.
Source: Rfam by way of RNAcentral